RNAcentral lists this ribosomal RNA (468 nucleotides) under uncultured bacterium. Its description in RNAcentral is "partial 16S ribosomal RNA". It matches the Rfam family "Bacterial small subunit ribosomal RNA", at positions 28 to 507 of the family's 1533-position model. The record is from RNAcentral.
GACGAACGCUGGCGGCGUGCUUAACACAUGCAAGUCGAACGGAAAGACCCUGCUUUUGUGGGGUGCUCGAGUGGCGAACAGGUGAGUAACACGUGAGUAACCUGCUCUUGUCUUUGGGAUAACUUCAGGAAACUGGGGCUAAUCCCGGAUAGGAGCUCCUGCUGCAUGGUGUGGGUUGGAAAGUUUCGGCGGUUGGGGAUGGACUCGCGGCUUAUCAGCUUGUUGGUGGGGUAGUGGCUUACCAAGGCUUUGACGGGUAGCCGGCCUGGGAGGGUGACCGGCGACAUUGGGACUGCGAGAGGGCCCAGACGCCUACGGGAGGCAGCGGUGGGAAAUAUUGCACAAUGGGCGGAAGCCUGUGGCAGCAACGCCGGGUGCGGGAUGACGGCCUUCGGGUUGUAAACCGCUUUCGCCUGUGACGAAGCGUGAGUGACGGUACUGGGUAAAGAAGCACCGGCUAACUACGUG